This 84-nucleotide microRNA precursor is filed under the name Schmidtea mediterranea. RNAcentral describes it as "microRNA sme-mir-2205 precursor". The record is from miRBase by way of RNAcentral. Lineage: Eukaryota; Metazoa; Platyhelminthes; Tricladida; Dugesiidae.
CCUCUUAGUUGUGUUGGAUAGUGAGUAAAGCGGUGAUAGUUUCAACAUCAAUCUGUAUUUCUCAUCUUCCCACGAUCGAUUAAU